AAACCAACUGGGAUUACCUUAGUAACGGCGAGUGAAGCGGUAAAAGCUCAAAUUUGAAAUCUGGUACUUUCAGUGCCCGAGUUGUAAUUUGUAGAAUUUGUCUUUGAUUAGGUCCUUGUCUAUGUUCCUUGGAACAGGACGUCAUAGAGGGUGAGAAUCCCGUUUGGCGAGGAUACCUUUUCUCUGUAAGACUUUUUCGAAGAGUCGAGUUGUUUGGGAAUGCAGCUCAAAGUGGGUGGUAAAUUCCAUCUAAAGCUAAAUAUUGGCGAGAGACCGAUAGCGAACAAGUACAGUGAUGGAAAGAUGAAAAGAACUUUGAAAAGAGAGUGAAAAAGUACGUGAAAUUGUUGAAAGGGAAGGGCAUUUGAUCAGACAUGGUGUUUUUUGCAUGCACUCGCCUCUCGUGGGCUUGGGCCUCUCAAAAAUUUCACUGGGCCAACAUCAAUUCUGGCAGCAGGAUAAAUCAUUAAGAAUGUAGCUACUUCGGUAGUGUUAUAGCUUUUUGGAAUACUGUUAGCCGGGAUUGAGGACUGCGCUUCGGCAAGGAUGUUGGCAUAAUGGUUAAAUGCCGCCC
This 574-nucleotide ribosomal RNA is filed under the name Hanseniaspora sp. RNAcentral describes it as "eukaryotic LSU rRNA". It matches the Rfam family "Eukaryotic large subunit ribosomal RNA", at positions 62 to 650 of the family's 3401-position model. Lineage: Eukaryota; Fungi; Ascomycota; Saccharomycetes; Saccharomycodales; Saccharomycodaceae. The record is from RNAcentral.